Molecule: ribosomal RNA, 378 nt
Filed under: Ranitomeya ventrimaculata (Amazonian poison frog)
Lineage: Eukaryota; Metazoa; Chordata; Amphibia; Anura; Dendrobatidae
Description: partial 16S ribosomal RNA
Rfam family: Bacterial large subunit ribosomal RNA
Source: RNAcentral
GUGACACUGUUCAACGGCCGCGGUAUCCUAACCGUGCGAAGGUAGCGUAAUCACUUGUUCUUUAAUUGAGGACUAGUAUGAACGGCCCCACGAGGACUACACUGUCUCCUUUUUCUAAUCAAUGAAACUGAUCUCCUCGUGAAGAAGCGAGGAUAAAUAUAUAAGACGAGAAGACCCUAUGGAGCUUUAAACAGCCGGGAUACUUGCUAAUUUAUAAUAUAUCUUCUGAAAACUAAACAAAUUAAAGCAUCUUACCCCCAAGUUUUAGGUUGGGGUGACCACGGAGAAAAAAUUAACCUCCAUGUUGUAAGAAGUCUACCAUCUUCUAAGCUUAGAGUUACAUCUCCAAGCAUCAACACAUUGACUCUCAUUGACCCA